GCAGGGAUAGCUCAGUCAGUAGAGCACGAGACUCUUAAUUUCAGGAUGAUGGGUUCCAACCCCAUAUUGGGCA
Molecule: non-coding RNA, 73 nt
Organism: Podarcis lilfordi (Lilford's wall lizard)
Lineage: Eukaryota; Metazoa; Chordata; Lepidosauria; Squamata; Lacertidae
Source: the annotation of a GenBank genome assembly